GCCUUGGUAGCUCAAUUGGCUAGAGCGUGGGACUUUUACAAAUAAAUAAAAACAAACCCCGGACUCUCCGGUCUAUGUAUAGAGGUAUCCCAAGGUUGCGGGUUCGACCCCCGCCUGAGGCG
Daldinia decipiens is the source of this 122-nucleotide non-coding RNA. NCBI's taxonomy places the organism in Eukaryota, Fungi, Ascomycota, Sordariomycetes, Xylariales, Hypoxylaceae. The record is from the annotation of a RefSeq genome assembly.